AUACAAACAAGCAAACUAAUAGUUUCGACAAACAUUAUUACAAUCUUAUAUACAAGAGAAAAAAAAUACAUUAUUGCAUUAAACGACAUCAAGAUUGACAAGACAUAAUUAAAAUAUAUAAUCAUAUGGUACAGACUCAAUACAAAGAUAACUACUCAUCAAUCAACUUAACUCUCAGAAGAACAUCAUGUAAUUUUCAGUAUAAAGUUUUAGCCACUAGGAACACCCCUAACCUGGGGACGUAAAUAUAUAUGUUAAGGCUGAAACAAAGAUUUUAUUUUGAGGAGGGAAGUCCUAAAUUUUAAGUCUACUAUAAUAUACAAUCAGUACAAUUGAGGGGUCAACAAUAAGGAUCAUAAUACAAAAACUAUAAACCAAGGGGGGUUGCAUAUAUAUAUUAAGGCUGAAACAAAGAUUUUAGUUUGAGGAGGGAAGUCCUAAAUUUAAGUCUACUAUAAUAUACAAUCACUACAAUUGAGGGGCCAACAAUAAGGAUCAUAGUACAAAAACUACAAACCAAGGGGGGCCUAGACGUAAACUAUACAUAGAAUUUGGUCAUGUUUUCAAUUUCAUCAUUAUAUAUUCUUAUUUUUUCAUUUUUGGAUGGGCCACCUCGUGCCUUUACUUUUUCCCGCCUCCGGGGUUAUAACCAUGUCUAUUCUUAUCACUUGGAGGGUACCCAGAUGUCAAAAUAUUCUCGGCAGACUCCGCCAGUACUCGGCUAAACUGCUGCGCAUUGUAGGCUGCGGCAUUUAAAGUCCUUCCGUUUGCAGCCAUGCAAGAGCUCACAAUCAUGAGAGCCAGAGCAAACCCUAGAAUCCUCGUUCUUCCACUCGUUUGAUCCAUCGUCACUGCUACAUAAUUUGAACAAAAUUCAAGUUUAAUGCAUGCAUGUGAGAAAAAAUUAACAGAUAUUUAGACCACAAGAAAAGAAUGAUACAAGUAGAAUUUUUAUUCUUUAUUAUUUAAUUAUAUUUUAAAAGGUAAAACGGGUGAGUAAAAUUUAAAUGAAUUUUUUAACUCUUUUUGAACUAGAAUAUAUAGCUAGGUAAAUGAAAUUACUUGAAACUACUCAAUGGAUACUUGAUGAUUUUUUAACUACUUACCCAAAUAGAGAUCAAGAGAAACGCGUUUGAUAAUGACGAUUUCGCAUGGAGGGAAGAAGAAUUAUAAAGUCUUUAUAUAGACGUGUU
This 1193-nucleotide long non-coding RNA is filed under the name Citrus x clementina. Its description in RNAcentral is "Citrus clementina (C. clementina) long non-coding RNA (CCLE_LNC001131)". Lineage: Eukaryota; Viridiplantae; Streptophyta; Magnoliopsida; Sapindales; Rutaceae. The record is from RNAcentral.